AAAGAUACCCGGGUAGUCCACGCCGUAAACGAUGAGUGCUAAGUGUUAGAGGGUUUCCGCCCUUUAGUGCUGCAGCAAACGCAUUAAGCACUCCGCCUGGGGAGUACGGUCGCAAGACUGAAACUCAAAGGAAUUGACGGGGGCCCGCACAAGCGGUGGAGCAUGUGGUUUAAUUCGAAGCAACGCGAAGAACCUUACCAGGUCUUGACAUCCCGUGACAACUCUAGAGAUAGGGCUUUCCCCUUCGGGGGACACGGUGACAGGUGGUGCAUGGUUGUCGUCAGCUCGUGUCGUGAGAUGUUGGGUUAAGUCCCGCAACGAGCGCAACCCUUGAUCUUAGUUGCCAGCAUUCAGUUGGGCACUCUAAGGUGACUGCCGGUGACAAACCGGAGGAAGGUGGGGAUGACGUCAAAUCAUCAUGCCCCUUAUGACCUGGGCUACACACGUGCUACAAUGGAUGGUACAAAGGGCAGCGAAACCGCGAGGUUAAGCCAAUCCCAUAAAACCAUUCUCAGUUCGGAUUGCAGG
RNAcentral lists this ribosomal RNA (528 nucleotides) under uncultured bacterium. RNAcentral describes it as "bacterial SSU rRNA". It matches the Rfam family "Bacterial small subunit ribosomal RNA", at positions 778 to 1304 of the family's 1533-position model. The record is from RNAcentral.